GCCGGGCGUUGUGGCGGGCACCUGUGGUCCCAGCUACUUGGGAGGCGGAGGCAGGAGACUCGCUUGAGCCCAGGAGUUGGAGGUUGCUGUGAGCUGUAAUGCCACUGCACUCUACCCAGGGGGACAGCUUGAGGCUCUGUCUCAAAAAAAAAAAAAAAGAAAUUAAACCAGGACUUUUUUUUAAGAGAGAGAAAGUCUCAAGCUGUCAUCCUGGGUGGAGUGCCGUGGUGUCACAGCUCAUAGCACCCUCAAACUCUUGGGCUUAAGCGAUUCUCUUGC
This 279-nucleotide small RNA is filed under the name Otolemur garnettii (small-eared galago). Its description in RNAcentral is "Metazoan signal recognition particle RNA (ENSOGAG00000033900.1)". Lineage: Eukaryota; Metazoa; Chordata; Mammalia; Primates; Galagidae. The record is from RNAcentral.